UAAAGGAAUUUCUCAAGGGAUUUCCUCCCCUCCUCUCCUCUUCCUCCCGUUCCUCCCCUCCCGCCGCCUCCCGCCCCGUCUUUACCCCUCCCGGUCCCUAUGAGUCAAACUUCAGCAAUGUGCCCAGUGUCUCCCAGUGCAUUACAGCGGAUCACAGAAAUGUUCCAGUCUGUGAGUUGGAAUGCGGCCGCCUCCAGCCCUCCUUGGGCUAGUAAACUCGGCUCCGGUGGCUUUACGCAGCAGCCCUCCCUGCCCCCUCCUUUUCAGCAGGUCGAGGUCAUAUUCAGGGGUCAGGGGCUGCGGACCUCACCGCUCUGCUUUCUGGCGUAGCCUGUCGGCCCUGUCGCCUCUAGCAAUCUGCUGGGUCAGAGACACAGCGGUUCCUGGGAAGGGAAGAGGUCCACGACUCUGAGCGGGCUCUCCUGUAGUGUGAGGCAAGCACCGAGGCCGGUUGCGGCUUCUCUCCAUCCCAUCCUACCUCCCUCUGUUCUGGGAACCGCAAGAUUCUCACAGUUCUACAGAAGCAGAAACUGAGGCUGAGCCAGACACAGAGGCACAUCAGAGGUGAAGCAAGGGUCCACAGUGGCCGAGCAGGGCUUGGCCACGCCCAGGUCUAGCUUUUGCCCACUACUCCCUGUUCCUGCAAGCAGUGCCCUCCUCGCUGCCUGUUGCUACCUUGGAGUUCAGCUGCUGGCUUCCUACGUCAGUCCUUUCCUCCCGCUCAUUCAACAGACAGAUCCUAGACCUUUGCAUUUAUUAAAUUAUCCUCACACACUCCUUUCCUGCCCUCCAUGCCCUGCUACAACAUGGCACCACCGCAUUACACACCUCUCCUACUGUUCUGCUCAGUGCCUCCUGGUACUUAAUGCUCAAUGAUGUUGGUCGUUAUUAUUACUAUUAUUAUUUCAGCCAAACUGGUCUGUUUGCAGCUUCCCAUCAUGACCAACUCCUGACCUUGGUUUAUCUAGUUCCCUCCCAAAAUGGAUGUCUUCCCAGUCCCUUUCUCUUCCUGUGGAAAUCUUCCCAGUCCUCAGGGUCUAUACCACCUCCUCCACUUUCCCUGAUUAUCAUAGCUAAAGGGAUUCUUUCCUUCCCUUAAAGUACCCCACCCAGCACAUUGUCAGUCUUUCUCUCUACAUUGACAUUCACCCACCUACUCUAUCUCAAUUCUCCUUCUCUUUCCGGAGAAUGUUCAAAGGUGGACAUCCCCUGAGCCCGGCUACUGUCUUAGCACAGUUCUUAUAGGGUCUUGCCAAGUGCCUUGCACAGAAUUCAAGCUCCCUAUGGGUUAUUUGUUGAAUUGAGACAGAGGUUCAUGGCCUUCAAGGACCGUCCCCUAGCUAGACACCACCACUGCACCCUUCUUUCCCAUGCCUCCCCAUGCUGACUUGGCAAGACACAUGUCCCUCCACCUCGUGUGUGUGCUUCACAGCCCUCACCUUUAAGCCAGACCUCCCUCCUUCCAUAUCCUUUCUCUGUGCCCACAGCCUCCAGAAGAAUUGCUUGGUUACUUCAGACUCCCAGCCUUUCCCCUGUUGUCUCUGUCCUUUGGCGCCACAGUGUCCCCACCUAAUAUCCACCAGGACUCCUGUACCUAUUUGUGAACUGAAAUCAGGCCCUUGUUUGCUCAUUUCUACCAUGAGCAUCAUCCAUCUGUUUGUGAGCCUUCUUUUUCUUUUUGACCAGAUCACUGAGUUCUGAGAGAUUUCAACAAAAAGGGUAUCUCCCCCUGCCUCAAUCUGUGUCCACAGUGCCCAGCACAUGGCUUUUUACACACCGCAGGACUCACUUCCCCCAAAGUAUAGACAGAGAGAAAAACUGUAAGAUUUACAUCUGGGAAGCUGGACUGUGCUCCUCUUUCCCCUCCUAGCUUUCCUUACCUCUCCAUCACUAUCACCACCCCCACUGCAGAGUCUUAAGCCAGUUUCUAAGUCGCACAUCCCCUGCUGGGGAAUCUUACAGAGCCACCAGGAACCCUAAGAGGCAUGAGGCUGAGAAGUGCAAAUGACUUCUCUUUCCUCUACCCUAAUCACCAUGGGAAGUUUUUAAAAAGGCUCUUGACUCCAGGCCUCUCACAGACUGCCCAGCUAAGCACCCAACUGAGGGGAUGAGCCCUGGGAGACCUGCCUUGACUCCCUCAAGUCUUCCUGGAGGCUCUGGCCAGGACACAGCUUGAGGACUCCCAUCUUCUGCUUCUCUUUGGGGUUCUGGGCCUACUUGACCUCCUUCUCUUUUUCUUUCUCCUCUUCUUCUACCUUUUACUGACUGUUUACCAUGUAACAGCCUUCUGCUAUCCCCUUAGGAAACAUUAGAUAAUUUAAUCUUAACAGUAAUCCUUAUGCUCAUGAUUAAAGAAUGACCUAUAGAGGUUGAGAAAAACCUGACCAAAAUUAUACAACUAGUAAAUGAUGGGGCCAUUGAUUCAUUCAGCAAAUAUUAUUGUUGCCCACCUUGUGCCAGGAUUCAAAGCUCCAGAAAGUCAUCUGGUCUAAACCUCAGGACACUGAGACCACUUCUGUCCCAGCCUUCUAGAUGUGGUCACUGAAGCCACAGUUCCUCCCCGAAGCCGCACUUCCCACACUUCGUCUACAAAGCCAGUGAGACAGUGCUCGGCCCCAAUGCCUCGGUGGGAUUUCAGAGGACAGCCAUGGCGGGAAGUUGGGUUGGGCUUCGCAUUUAAGUUUCCAAACCUGGAAUCAAAUGCUAAUACACAGGGUUUGGGACUGGCAGACUAAAAGGGGAGGUAGAUCCCCAAGGGUUUCAGGGGACCAGACAUAGCAAGUGGAAGGCAGCAGGGCAGGAAGGAAGAGAAGAAGGCAGGAAAGGAGGGAAGGAUAGGAGAGAAGAUAAUUAGGAUUGAGUGUUCGUUUGUAUUAUGUGCUGCUCAAGGCCCUUACACUUAUAUCUCAUUAUUGUCCUCAAUGUUUUAGUGAGCAAACUAAAGCUUAGAAAGACAAAAUGAUUUGCCCAUGUCCACAGAGCCCGUAAGUGACUUAAUCCCAAGUGUGUUGAUUCAGAGCCUGUGCAGUUUCUCCUAGCAGGUGGAAACAAUGCAGAAGCUGCUGCCAGCAUCCUGCCCCCGUGUGAACCUGGUCACUUGAGGUCCUGGCCAAUCGGUGUGUGACAUCCUAGAUGCCAAGUUACCUCCCUCACUGCCCCCCACCAUGCUGUCUCAUCCCUGGUUCCCACCUUUCCCUGUUGCACUGUUCUUGGGCACAAAGGCCAAAGAAGCCACAGUCCCUGUCACUGAGGAAUUUGUCAUCUCCUGGAGAGCAGGGCACAGCUACAAAAAGGCCAGAGAGGGAGAAGACUGCCAGGAAGGACUCCAGUGGCCCGCGCUGCCAAGGACAUCUGUGCGCACAGAGUCACAGGAGGCCCACGCUGAAGGUGGUGUAGCUGAUUGCCAGGUCCUUGUGGGCCAGGGCAGCUCUCCGACCUGCCCGCUUCUGUGCUCGGAGCAGGGUUCUAGAAGUCUCUGCCCUGUCGAAUCCGUCAUGCCAGCUCUGCCUGAGUGAAUAGGGGCAGGAGGACACUGUCUCCCCAUGGCAGACCCUGAGGCUGGGUUCCAUGCUUCUCCGCUAUGAGCUUUCAAGGAACCAUUUAGAAACCUGUAGAGGAAUGGCUGCAGCUGGGCAGUGGUGUUGCGGUUAAAGCCAGACCUGGAGUCAGGCUGCCUGGCUGGAGCUUGUUGCUCACCCACUGCAUAAUCUAAGCACGUUCUUUCGCCCCUCAGAAGCUCCUCACUUGCAUACUGGGGUGUGAAGUGCCUAUCACCUUAGGGCUGCUGGGAAGAUGAUGAGAUGGGGACUUGACGUGCUUAUUACAGAGCCUGGUGCACCCCAGGCUCCCCGUAAGGUUCCAGCUGCAUGCAGACAUUAGAAAACUAAGUCCUGUCUCUCUGUCCCACUAAGCUGCAGUUUUCCUCUGCAAAUUCGGUCUGAAAAUGAAUACUGACCUAAUUUGUGCAAAUAAAUCCAAAGAGGUUUAUAGCCCAAGCUGACCCUUCUGGGAUGCACAGGAUAUGGCCAGGCUGUGGGAACGGGCAAAAUAUGUGGAACCUUCCCAAUCCUGCUGGUACUCAAGGUGUGGCCUCAGAGCUGACUCAGAGUUGAGGGCAGCCUGGAUCGGGGUACAGGGAAAGCCCGCACUGACUGCAAAGGGCCUCACCUCCACUCUGGCACUACAUCUGGAGUGACCGGCACAUCUGGUUACAUCCCUGGGGCAAUGGCCACAGCUGCUGACAUUUGAGGGAGGAGAGAUCUGGCUCCCCAGCAAGGGCCUGGGGGACUAUAAAUAACUAGCUAAGAGGACCAGGGGGAUGAGGUUGACCUUUUGGGGGGGCAGGAGCGCCUGGCUACUUUCCCCACCCCCUUGGGUCCAGAGCCAGAGUUUUAGCAAAACAGGAAGAGGCAGCAGCUGCUGGGAAAGUAGGAGUGGCUCCCCUUCCUCCACUUGCCUGGGGCCUUCGGAUCCCAGCCAGGACCUGGGAGAGGUGGAGUCUUGGGGAUGUUGGGGGAGGGUGCAGAGGGAGGGGCAGACCCAUGCAGACUGUGGCCCCAGCUUCUGGUGCCCUCCUAUGGCUCAGCUGGGGCAUAGGCCCGGGAGAAUGAGCCAGAGAAGGGCAGCCUAGUGUUCUGUGCCCACCGCCCUUCCCCCUCCCAUUCCCUUUCUGUUCCCCUUUCAGUGGGACAACAGGGAGGACAGGCAUUAGGAAGGAGAGUAAAACAUGCCUGUGAGCCGGGGAGUGUAUCCAGAGGCGCAGCAUGACGCCAAGCCCACCCUUUUCUCAUUCCCUCCCAGACUACAGGUGGGCUGAGCCUGAGCCCAGGAGGGGUGGACAGAGCCCUCUGGGCAGGCGGAUGCAUGCCUCUGGGCUUCUGGAGAGGGGCCCAGGGCCUGGUCCUGCGGGAUGAUGGGGAACUUCCCCACAGACGGUUUGAGCUGGGGAGAUCCAAGGCUUUGGGGUGGCUCUCGGUGGCUGUUUUCCUGGAGUAACAGAACCCCCACAGGGGUGAGCUCUGGGGGGCCAUGGCACGGCUCAGAGGGCCCCAGGAAAUCCAGGAUCAAAGGAGCCUUGCCUGGGGCAGACGGACCACCCAGAGUCUGUCCUUCCGUGUUUAGCUGGCUGGUGACGUCCGGCCGGAGCCUCCGCUGCCCAGGCUCCAGGCUCUGCGUCUGCCUGUGUCACGCCCCCUCCCUGCGCCUCAGCUGGGAGCCCCGUGUUUUGCCUGCUGGAGAAUCUAGACGGCGCACCACCCUAUAGAAUCAGAAGGUGAACCACAUAUGUAACCUUACAUUUUCUUUAAAAAAAAAAGCUAAAAUAAAUAGGUGAUGUAAUUUUAAUAGUAUACUUAUUUAACCUAAUAUAUGUAAAACCUUUCAGCAUAUAAUCAAAACAAAAAGUUACUGAUGA
Manis pentadactyla (Chinese pangolin) is the source of this 5413-nucleotide long non-coding RNA. RefSeq lists it as uncharacterized. The transcript has 2 exons. Lineage: Eukaryota; Metazoa; Chordata; Mammalia; Pholidota; Manidae. The record is from RefSeq and is a predicted model, not a curated record.